CCUUGGUGGUUUAGCGUUAGGAUAACACCCGUUCCCAUUCCGAACACGGCCGUAAAGACUAACUGCAGCAACAAUACUCGGACCGUAAGGUCCCGGGAAGAUAGCGUUCCGCCAAGGG
Molecule: ribosomal RNA, 118 nt
Filed under: Candidatus Doudnaibacteriota bacterium
Lineage: Bacteria; Candidatus Doudnaibacteriota
Source: RNAcentral